RNAcentral lists this ribosomal RNA (465 nucleotides) under uncultured bacterium. RNAcentral describes it as "partial 16S ribosomal RNA". It matches the Rfam family "Bacterial small subunit ribosomal RNA", at positions 338 to 795 of the family's 1533-position model. The record is from RNAcentral.
CCUACGGGAGGCAGCAGUAGGGAAUCUUCCACAAUGGGCGAAAGCCUGAUGGAGCAACGCCGCGUGGGUGAAGAAGGUCUUCUGAUCGUAAAACCCUGUUGUUAGAGAAGAAAGUGCGUGAGAGUAACUGUUCACGUUUCGACGGUAUCUAACCAGAAAGCCACGGCUAACUACGUGCCAGCCGCCGCGGUAAUACGGCGGUGGCAAGCGUUAUCCGGAUUUAUUGGGCGUAAAGGGAACGCGGCCGGUCUUUUAAGGCUGAUGUGAAAGCCUUCGGCUUAACCGGAGUAGUGCAUUGGAAACUGGGGGACUUGAGUGUAGAAGAGGAGAGUGGAACUCCAUGUGUAGAGGUGAAAUGCGUAGAUAUAUGGAAGAACACCAGUGGCGAAGGCGGCUCUCUGGUCUGUAACUGACGCUGAGGUUCGAAAGCGUGGGUAGCGAACAGGAUUAGAUACCCGGGUAGUC